Xenopus laevis (African clawed frog) is the source of this 2413-nucleotide long non-coding RNA. RefSeq lists it as uncharacterized. Lineage: Eukaryota; Metazoa; Chordata; Amphibia; Anura; Pipidae. The transcript is spliced from 3 exons. The record is from RefSeq and is a predicted model, not a curated record.
AUCAGUGUAAGCCAUUAAGUUGCCUAUAAAACCCCCUACACUGCACUGACUCAUUGCCCAAUGUAGGUCUAUGUCCUAUAGUUCCUGGAUGUGAUUCUUCCUGUUCCCGACCUUUGUCUGUUUUUGACCUUUGCUGUAUCACUGCCUGAACUGACCCUUCUCUAUUUGAUCACUCUUCUGGAUCCUGACUUUGUACCAUAUUACUGAUUGGCACAUUUACACAUUGGUUUACAUACACCAUUUGUUUCUUAUAUUUGGAAUGUAAGGAAGCAACAUGCAGAAUAUAUUAAUUGCUGUGGAAGUGUAACCCACUGAGGAUGCAUAUAUUGAAGGACAAAGAAGGGACAAUCUGAUGGCUGGAGGAGUCAUGGAGCAACAUGUAUGCAGAGUCUCAGCAAGCAGGAAGUGCGUGGGCAUGGCCAAUGAAGGAGGAAGCAGAAGCAAGCCGGAGGAAACUGGAGGUAAAUUGAUGAACCAAUGAUGUAUCUGGAGAAUUCCACCAACGAUCAAGUCCCCAUCGCUAAAGUAGUUCAUCCUGCUGAGGCUCCUCAGUUGGCACCCAGAGCUGGGACUGGCCAUUUCAGCUGCACAAGGAAAUAUCUGGAACAUCAGAACCACAAAGAGAACCUUGAAUCUGUCAGGAAACAGAACCUCCAUUGAUCCACAGAACUGAGCAAAGAGAUGGUGCAAAUUCUUGAGCAAAUGGGGGCAGAGUGAAGACAUCUUUGUACCAGAAACAAAGCAGCCAAAGUGUAUAUUUCUAGCAAUGUUCCCUUAGUUAUAUAUCUUCCCUGAACUGCAAUCUAUGAGCAGCUACACCCACUGAUAUAUUUUAGCAGCACAGUUAUAGAGUUUCCGAAAUCAGCCAUAAUAGCCUGUGUUCAGCUCUUCCCAAUACAGCAGCAGCCUUGGGAUUUAUGGAUUUUACUUAGAACCUCUGACUUAUUUUAAUUCAUGGAGCUGAAACUUAAAGUCAUGGCUGGAACUAGGGGUCGGCAGAAGAGGCACCUGUCUAGGACACAAUGAUGGGGGGUGCUGAGCAGGUUCCUUUUGAAGAGUUUUCUGCCUACCCCUAGUUCAGCUUUCUUGCUCCAGCUGCCUCUCCAUUCUUGUAAUCAUGUGCACCUCCCCCGCUGGGUUGUCUAGGGUGCCUGGUCGGCUUGAACCGCUGCUGCUUAAAGCUCCGGUUUUGGGCCUUUUUGACAGUAAACAGAUGUUUAAACAAACUCCAACUCAAACGUGCCUUUGGUGUUUUACUUUAAGGGGCUGAUUUUUGAAGGUUGGUUCAUUUUUCUGAAUCGUACUUUGUAGCUCAAGUGAACAAAUUUUUCGGAUAGGUACUUAAUCAAAAUGUUUUGUAAUUUAUCAAGUGUAAAAACCAUAUAACCUAUAAAUACAAAAGUGAGCCAAGUGAAAGCUGUCGGUCAUGUAGAAGUCAAGUUCCCUUUCUUAUCUUGCAAAGAUCAGCCUUUUGUUCAUGGUUUUAGAGGUUUCAUUCAUUUAUUGUUGUAUAGAUUUUUUGUUUGUUCAAGAAAAAUUCUGGGUUUUCAGGUUUUUUCGGGGCCUACCCCAUUUCAUUUAUAGUUUAAUUGACAUUUCAAUCAUUUACAAGGCAUUCAUGAUUUUAGAGUUUAAUCAUGGUUUGAAAAAGUGCUGCAAACCACUAAGCUGAGAGAAAGAGAUCAAACAGACAUUCUUCCUAAUUUCCACCAUAUCUGUUCUUCAGGUUGACCUCCCACCCACUAUAUUGGACCACCCUAAGUGGUUCAGAAUCAUAAUUUGAGAAUAUUUGAUUUUAUGUGAUAUUAAAAUGUUUCAAGUUCUUAUAGGGAUGUGUGUAGAUCAUUUUUUUUUUUUUAUUAUUUGAAGAUUUUAUUUUCAUAGAAAAAAGAAAAACUCUUACAAGCAUAAAAGUAACACAUGAGCGAUUGGUUCAAUUACAUUAUCGAAGAUUGGAAUAACAAGACAUGUAGGCACUGCUAUAGACAUAUCUUUGUGUCACCAAUAAACCCAUGUAUUGAGCAUAUAAGCGAAUAAUUGUCUUUAUUAGCGCUGUCGUCACGUGCUCAAGCUGUAGUAUGUGGUAAGUAUUGGCCAAUCCGCUAUCAAUGCUUCGCAGAGAUCCAAGAGGGGAGGAAAAAAGUAAACAAUAAAAGUAAUAGUGAGGGGAAAGAGGGGAAAGAAAUUGAGGAAGGGGGGUCAGAGAAUGAGAGCAGAGGAGUCAAACCAUUGAGUCAGUUCGAGUCUGUUUGGGUUGUCUCGAAUUCAGCCCAGGGGAGCCAUAACAGUGCGGGUUAGUAUACUGUACCUUGUACACAUGCUCAGAUGGUUUGCUUUUUUUUUUUUUUUUUAUUAUUUGAAGCUGUUAUCGUUUUUCAACAUGACAAUUAAAAAAGAUGCAAGAAAGUAUAAC